RNAcentral lists this ribosomal RNA (246 nucleotides) under uncultured Lactobacillus sp. RNAcentral's name for it is "partial 16S ribosomal RNA". It matches the Rfam family "Bacterial small subunit ribosomal RNA", at positions 117 to 355 of the family's 1533-position model. The record is from RNAcentral. Lineage: Bacteria; Bacillati; Bacillota; Bacilli; Lactobacillales; Lactobacillaceae.
GUGGGUAACCCUGCCCAAGAGAUCGGGAUAACACCUGGAAACAGAUACUAAUACCGGAUAACAACAGAUGAUGCCUAUCAACUGUUUAAAAGAUGGUUCUGCUAUCACUCUUGGAUGGACCUGCGGUGCAUUAGCUAGUUGGUAGGGUAACGGCCUACCAAGGCGAUGAUGCAUAGCCGAGUUGAGAGACUGAUCGGCCACAUUGGGACUGAGACACGGCCCAAACUCCUACGGGAGGCAGCAGUC